AAGUCGUAACAAGGUUUCCGUAGGUGAACCUGCGGAAGGAUCAUCAUCGAAUUCAUAUCCCCCUCCUCUCCCGGAGGAGGGGGACCCAUGAUAAACCCUCUGUGCACCGUAACCGUUCACUUUGGCAGGCUUUGAUGGUGAGCGUGAGCUCACCUCCAACCUCGCGUUCCCUCCCUAGGGACGUUACGCGUGGCGGCCUGCCGAAGUCCUCCCAUUAAAAAAAACGUUUUCGAACACGUCUGAAAAUUUGCUUUGAGAAAUCAAAGAAUCGAAACAACUUUCAACAACGGAUCUCUUGGCUCUC
This 304-nucleotide unclassified non-coding RNA is filed under the name fungal sp. RNAcentral's name for it is "partial internal transcribed spacer region". The stretch from base 1 to 46 matches the Rfam family "Eukaryotic small subunit ribosomal RNA", at positions 1786 to 1831 of the family's 1831-position model. The record is from RNAcentral. Lineage: Eukaryota; Fungi.